RNAcentral lists this transfer RNA (69 nucleotides) under Lepomis macrochirus (bluegill). RNAcentral's name for it is "tRNA-His". It matches the Rfam family "tRNA". Rfam says of the family: Transfer RNA (tRNA) molecules are approximately 80 nucleotides in length. Their secondary structure includes four short double-helical elements and three loops (D, anti-codon, and T loops). RNAcentral also lists the same sequence under 1 other name. The record is from RNAcentral. Lineage: Eukaryota; Metazoa; Chordata; Actinopteri; Centrarchiformes; Centrarchidae.
GUAGAUGUAGUUUAAUCAAAACACUAGAUUGUGAUUCUAGAAACAGGGGUUAAAACCUCCUCAUCCACC